Molecule: ribosomal RNA, 285 nt
Filed under: uncultured bacterium
Lineage: Bacteria
Description: partial 16S ribosomal RNA
Rfam family: Bacterial small subunit ribosomal RNA
Source: RNAcentral
AACGAACGCUGGCGGCAGGCUUAACACAUGCAAGUCGAACGGGCACCUUCGGGUGUCAGUGGCAGACGGGUGAGUAACGCGUGGGAACGUACCCUUCGGUUCGGAAUAACCCACGGGAAACUUGGGCGUAACACCGGAUACGUCCGCAAGGAGAAAGAUUUAUCGCCGAAGGAUCGGCCCGCGUCGGAUUAGCUAGUUGGUGGGGAAUGGCCCACCAACGGCGACGAUCCGUAGCUGGUCUGAGAGGAUGANCAGCCACACUGGGACUGAGACACGGCCCAGACU